GGCGCGUGCGACGGCCGGGCGGCGCGGGGCGAGCCACGGUCUGGAGCGGCAACGCGUGGAUGAGUCGGGCAUCCCGUCUUCCUCCUGUGUAGAAGAACCACCAUGGAGGCCGGAGUUGGAUGCCACGCCGUUGGGGAGCCCGAGCGUUGUCGGGUGCUGGCGAGUGCACUGACUCGGUUCAGUUAUCCAGUCCGUGUCGACUUCCAAUUGAUUACUCUUCACAUGUGCGGAGAAAAGCGUUGGGACGGGCGCUGUCGGCAUAGACGGAGCCCGUGCGGUCAGGCAGGGCGACCCUAGUCUGCAACGCCAAGCUCCAUGGCGUUGCAGCCUGCAUAGAAGCGCCAAAGUGCAUGGCGUUUUUCGUGCGGUCUGCAACGCCGCAGUAGACAGACGUCUGUAUUUAGAGCAGAAACGUGAGAGUAGACUGGCGUUUUUAUAUACACCAACAACGCCACGGGUUCUGACGUUUCUAAAAGGAUUAGAUCGUGAAAUACUUUCAGAUCGAGUUUAUUCUGUGCAUUUUUUUUCGUCUUGUGGGUCAAAACAGUGAAAAAAACCUUGAUAUUAUUGGUUCCACAUGACUUCUUGAUGUGAUAGUAA
Long non-coding RNA from Hordeum vulgare subsp. vulgare (domesticated barley), 600 nucleotides. RefSeq lists it as uncharacterized. Lineage: Eukaryota; Viridiplantae; Streptophyta; Magnoliopsida; Poales; Poaceae. The record is from RefSeq and is a predicted model, not a curated record. The transcript has 2 exons.